RNAcentral lists this unclassified non-coding RNA (433 nucleotides) under soil metagenome. RNAcentral describes it as "partial contains 5.8S ribosomal RNA, internal transcribed spacer 2, and large subunit ribosomal RNA". The stretch from base 1 to 120 matches the Rfam family "5.8S ribosomal RNA", at positions 35 to 154 of the family's 154-position model. The record is from RNAcentral.
GAUGAAGAACGUAGCGAAAUGCGAUACGUAAUGUGAAUUGCAGAAUUCAGUGAAUCAUCGAAUCUUUGAACGCAUAUUGCGCUCUCUGGUAUUCCGGAGAGCAUGCUUGUUUGAGUAUCAGUAAACACCUCAACUCCCCUUUCUUUUUUUGAAAUGGGAGCUGGACUUGAGUGAUCCCAACGCUUUUCUCACCGAAAAGUGGCGGGUUACUUGAAAUGCAGGUGCAGCUGGACUUUUCUCUGAGCUAAAAGCAUAUCUAUUUAGUCUGCCUAAAAAACAGAUUAUUACCUUUGCUGCAGCUAACAUAAAGGAGAUUAGUUCUUGUGCUGACUGAUGCAGGAUUCACAGAGACAGCUUCGGCUGGCCUUUGUAAACUCGAUCUCAAAUCAAGUAAGACUGCCCGCUGAACUUAAGCAUAUCAAUAAGCGGAGGA